GACGAACCGUACGAACGUUAUUCGGAAUCACUGGGCUUAAAGGGUGCGUAGGCGGUGCGGAAAGUUGGGUGUGAAAUCCCUCGGCUCAACCGAGGAAUUGCGCCCAAAACUACCGUGCUCGAGGGAGACAGAGGUGAGUGGAACUUAGGGUGGAGCGGUGAAAUGCGUUGAUAUCCUAAGGAACACCAGUGGCGAAAGCGACUCACUGGGUCUCUUCUGGCGCUGAGGCACGAAAGCUAGGGGAGCAAACGGG
RNAcentral lists this ribosomal RNA (253 nucleotides) under uncultured bacterium. RNAcentral describes it as "partial 16S ribosomal RNA". It matches the Rfam family "Bacterial small subunit ribosomal RNA", at positions 524 to 776 of the family's 1533-position model. The record is from RNAcentral.